This 471-nucleotide ribosomal RNA is filed under the name uncultured bacterium. RNAcentral's name for it is "bacterial SSU rRNA". It matches the Rfam family "Bacterial small subunit ribosomal RNA", at positions 28 to 499 of the family's 1533-position model. The record is from RNAcentral.
GAUGAACGCUGGCGGCGUGCUUAACACAUGCAAGUCGAGCGAAGCGAUUUAAGUGAAGUUUUCGGAUGGAUCUUAAAUUGACUGAGCGGCGGACGGGUGAGUAACGCGUGGAUAACCUGCCUCACACAGGGGGAUAACAGUUAGAAAUGACUGCUAAUACCGCAUAAGCGCACAGUACCGCAUGGUACAGUGUGAAAAACUCCGGUGGUGUGAGAUGGAUCCGCGUCUGAUUAGGUAGUUGGUGAGGUAACGGCCCACCAAGCCGACGAUCAGUAGCCGACCUGAGAGGGUGACCGGCCACAUUGGGACUGAGACACGGCCCAAACUCCUACGGGAGGCAGCAGUGGGGAAUAUUGCACAAUGGGCGAAAGCCUGAUGCAGCAACGCCGCGUGAGUGAAGAAGUAUCUCGGUAUGUAAAGCUCUAUCAGCAGGGAAGAAAAUGACGGUACCUGACUAAGAAGCCCCGGCUA